This 253-nucleotide ribosomal RNA is filed under the name uncultured bacterium. RNAcentral's name for it is "partial 16S ribosomal RNA". It matches the Rfam family "Bacterial small subunit ribosomal RNA", at positions 524 to 776 of the family's 1533-position model. The record is from RNAcentral.
CACGUAGGGUCCAAGCGUUGUCCGGAAUUAUUGGGCGUAAAGAGCUCGUAGGCGGUGUGUCGCGUCGGAUGUGAAAGCCCGGGGCUUAACUUCGGGUCUGCAUUCGGUACGGGCAUGCUGGAGUUCGGUAGGGGAGACUGGAAUUCCUGGUGUAGCGGUGAAAUGCGCAGAUAUCAGGAGGAACACCGGUGGCGAAGGCGGGUCUCUGGGCCGAUACUGACGCUGAGGAGCGAAAGCGUGGGGAGCGAACAGG